RNAcentral lists this unclassified non-coding RNA (19 nucleotides) under synthetic construct. The record is from RNAcentral.
GCACCAGAGCCAAUGGAAC